GCCCGGUUAGCUCAGUCGGUAGAGCAUUCGGCUUUUAUGCGAGGUGCACUCCUCGGUGUCAACCGAAAUGUCGGGGGUUCGAGCCCCCCAUUGGGCG
RNAcentral lists this transfer RNA (97 nucleotides) under Puccinia triticina 1-1 BBBD Race 1. RNAcentral's name for it is "Puccinia triticina tRNA PTTG_20386". It matches the Rfam family "tRNA". Rfam says of the family: Transfer RNA (tRNA) molecules are approximately 80 nucleotides in length. Their secondary structure includes four short double-helical elements and three loops (D, anti-codon, and T loops). Lineage: Eukaryota; Fungi; Basidiomycota; Pucciniomycetes; Pucciniales; Pucciniaceae. The record is from Rfam by way of RNAcentral.